GCACCUUCGGGUGUGAAUUAGCGGCGAACGGGUGAGGAACACGUGAGAAAUCUGCCUUCAACACUGGGAUAACUCCGGGAAACCGGGGCUAAUACCGGAUAUGAAACCUGCGGGCAUCCGCGGGUUUGGAAAGUUUUUCGGUUGAAGAUGAUCUCGCGGCCUAUCAGCUUGUUGGUGAGGUAAUGGCUCACCAAGGCGACGACGGGUAGCCGGCCUGAGAGGGCGACCGGCCACACUGGGACUGAGACACGGCCCAGACUCCUACGGGAGGCAGCAGUGGGGAAUAUUGGGCAAUGGAGGAAACUCUGACCCAGCGACGCCGCGUGCGGGAUGAAGGCCUUCGGGUUGUAAACCGCUUUCAGCAGGGAAGAAGCGAAAGUGACGGUACCUGCAGAAGAAGCACCGGCUAACUAUGUGCCAGCAGCCGCGGUAAUACAUAGGGUGCAAGCGUUGUCCGGAAUUAUUGGGCGUAAAGAGCUCGUAGGUGGUUCGUCACGUCGGAUGUGAAACUCUG
RNAcentral lists this ribosomal RNA (514 nucleotides) under uncultured Actinomycetes bacterium. RNAcentral's name for it is "bacterial SSU rRNA". It matches the Rfam family "Bacterial small subunit ribosomal RNA", at positions 74 to 604 of the family's 1533-position model. The record is from RNAcentral. Lineage: Bacteria; Bacillati; Actinomycetota; Actinomycetes.